This 494-nucleotide ribosomal RNA is filed under the name uncultured bacterium. RNAcentral describes it as "partial 16S ribosomal RNA". It matches the Rfam family "Bacterial small subunit ribosomal RNA", at positions 28 to 507 of the family's 1533-position model. The record is from RNAcentral.
GACGAACGCUGGCGGCGUGCUUAACACAUGCAAGUCGAACGGUGAAGCGCCUUCCUUUUUGGUGGGUGUGGAUGAGUGGCGAACGGGUGAGUAACACGUGAGUAACCUGCCCCCUUCUUCUGGAUAACCGCAUGAAAGUGUGGCUAAUACGGGAUAUUCUGGGUCUGUCGCAUGAUGGGUCUGGGAAAGAUAUUGUUUCGGUGGGGGAUGGGCUCGCGGCCUAUCAGCUUGUUGGUGGGGUGAUGGCCUACCAAGGCGGUGACGGGUAGCCGGCCUGAGAGGGUGGACGGUCACACUGGGACUGAGACACGGCCCAGACUCCUACGGGAGGCAGCAGUGGGGAAUAUUGCACAAUGGGCGCAAGCCUGAUGCAGCGACGCCGCGUGAGGGAUGGAGGCCUUCGGGUUGUGAACCUCUUUCGCCAGUGAAGCAGGCCUGCCUCGUUUGUGGGUGGGUUGACGGUAGCUGGUUAAGAAGCGCCGGCUAACUACGUG